UGGGGCUGACCUGCACUUUACCCAUCAGCCAGCGCGCCGGGUUCGGCAAACACCCCCCCUCCUUUCCCAGUAGCGGCGGCUGCAGUAGCAGGAGGCUGAGGUUGGGCGCCGCGGAUAGGCAAUGUGAGGAUCCUCCGCCGGAGCCGCCCCCUCCCAUCCCCCAGUCAGUCAGGGAGUGAGCGAGCGAGCGAGCCUGCCGCGGCCUCUUCACACGCGCAGCACGUACCAAAAUGGCAGAACUGUUUAUGGAAUGUGAGGAGGAGGAGCUAGAACCGUGGCAAAAGAGAGUGAAAGAAGUUGAGGAGGAUGAUGAUGAUGAUGAUGAUGAGCCAAUCUUCAUUGGGGAGAUUUCAAGCUCCAAACCGGCCAGUACAUAUAUAUUGAACAGAGUCAACCUCAGCUCAUCACGAACGGGGAUACAGAAUGGUGCACCUAGUAGAGGUACAGUUACUACAUUCAAGCCUGCCAGUCAACACUAUACAACUCCUGCAUCCAAUCCGGGUGCUGUCACUGUUUCACCAGUCUUUCAGUCUGUAUCCAGACCUGCAACUAGCUCUGUAGCCGUUCAGCCGUUGUCUAGACCAGUGACUGUUUCAGGAACUUCCCAGACGCUACAGAGACCUAUUACUGGAUGUUUAUCAGCUCAGCAGAUACCCGGGUCAAAUUCUGGAAUAUCACAGCCUGUUAGCAGACCUGUAACCAUUCCAGUAACGACACAGCCAGUAUCAAGAGAUAUUUCAAUUCCUGUAAUGGGUCAACCCGUACCGAGGCCAGUGGCUACAGUAACAGCACAACCUGUAAUAUUAAAUCAGGGUUAUAUUGCGAGUUCUCCACAAGCUGUACCAAAUAAUACUUCGGGCAUACUGUUCGGCUUGAGACAGAAGUCAGGAGUUCCUCACUACCAGAGUGGAUCAGUAGUGACUAUGACAGGUCUGAAUGAGAGUGGUUUUGUGUCUAAGCGUCCAGCUACUUCUGAAGCCAACAGUGUUACUCCAAAAAAGGCCAAGCCUAAUGAGGUUGGUGCUGGAAGCAAUUCAACUGUAUCACCUUCAGUUAACUCUCCAACAGUAACACCAUCACAAAAUGUUUCUUCAAAAGGUACUAAUACUACAUCAAGCAAUGUUAAAAAUGGAGCACCUUUUCCACGAGCUUGUCCAAAAUGCAAUAUUCACUUCAAUCUUAUGGAUCCUUUAAAAAAUCACAUGAAGUAUUGUUGUCCAGAUUUGGUAAAUAACUUCUUUCUGGGAAUGUCCAAAACAGAAUGUUCAAAUACACCAAGUAAGACUGCUGAAUCUGAGAAAGGAAAAUUGAUCAUGUUAGUUAAUGACUUUUAUUAUGGAAAGCAUGAAGGUGAUGUCCAGCGGGUACAACAGGAACAGAAGACUCAUACAACUUUUAAGUGCUUCAGCUGUUUGAAAGUUCUUAAAAAUAACAUAAGGUUUAUGAACCACAUGAAACACCAUUUAGAGCUUGAGAAGCAGAGCAGUGAAAGUUGGGAAAGCCACACCACCUGCCAGCACUGUUAUCGUCAGUUUCCCACACCUUUCCAGCUGCAGUGCCACAUUGAAAGCACACACACCCCUUAUGAAUCAUCUACUAUUUGUAAAAUCUGUGAAUUAUCCUUUGAAACAGAGCAAGUUCUUCUGCAACAUAUGAAGGACAAUCAUAAGCCAGGUGAAAUGCCAUAUGUUUGCCAGGUGUGCAAUUACAGAUCAUCAGCUUUUUCAGAUGUAGAAACCCAUUUUAGAACUGUACAUGAAAACACAAAACAUUUGCUUUGUCCAUUUUGCCUCAAAGUUAUUAAAAUUGGAGCACCAUACAUGCAUCAUUAUAUGAGGCAUCAGAAAAAAGGAAUAUACCGUUGUACUAAGUGCAGAUUGCAAUUUUUGACAUGCAAAGAAAAAAUGGAUCACAAGACUCAGCAUCACCGGACAUUCAGGAAACCUAAGCAAUUAGAGGGAUUGCCUCCUGGAACUAAAGUUACUAUUCGAGCUUCCGUUGGACCUCUUCAAUCUGGAACAUCUGCCACAUCUUUUAGCACAAGCACCUCCACAUUUCAGUUAUCUCCCAAAACUAAAAACACAAACACUAAAAAUCACAACAAAUCUAAUACAAAUAAAUCAAAAUUAAAAUCAUCAACUAUACAGAAGAAGCAAAACACAUUUACUAGCAGCAGCAGCAGCAGCAGCAGCAAAAAAAAAAAAAAAGUUGCCAAUACAGCAUUGCAUAAUCUAAGGUAUCGUUUGGGAGUUCAUAAAUGCAUUGAAUGUUACUCAGAAAUAAAAGAUUUUGCAAGUCACUUUCCAGCAUAUGUCCAUUGCAGCUUAUGCAGAUACAAUACUAGCUGUAGCAAAGCCUAUGUGAAUCAUAUGAUGAGUUUUCAUAGUGCUCGUCCAAGUAAAAGAUUUUGGAUCUAUAAGAAGCAUUCAGAAGAACUGAGGGGUGUUACUGUAGUGUGUCUUAAUUGUGAUUUCCUAACUGAUGUUUCUGGCUUAGAUAAGAUGGCCACACAUUUGAGUGAAAGACAUACUCAUACUUGUCAAGUUAUUAUAGAGAAUGUUUCCCUAGCUUGCCCUGCUGCUGAACACAUUUCUGAGUUAAAGGCAACUUCUCUCUCUCUGGUGGAGAUUUCAAAGUCUGAGGAUUCAGCAGCGUGGAAUUUGCUGUGGAAUUCACCCAAUUGCCCUGCAGAAUUGUGCUCUAGAACCUCUGCUUUCAUUUAAAAACAAAAAUUAAAUUUCUAGCCCUUAUGAUUUUUUUCCAUAGAUUCCAAAGCCAGAAUGGACCACUGUGAUCAUCUAGUCUGACCUCCUGUAUAGUACAGACCAUAGAACUUCCCCAAAUUAAUUCCUAGAGCAUAUAUUUUAGAAAAACAUCCAAUCUAGAUUUUAAAGGUGCCAGUGAUGUAGAAUCCACCAUGACCCUUGGUAAAUUGUUCCAGUGGUUACGUUCACUGUUUAAAAAUUUACACCUUAUUUCCAGUCUGACUGUCUAGCUUCAACUUCCAGGCGAAGAUUGCAGAAGAUGCAUUACACUGAAAAUAUGAACAAAGUGCAGACCAUUUCUUUGAGGUUUGCAGAGAGCCUGAAGCAGCCCUCAGAGAUAUGACCUGCCCCUUCAGCUUUGUCGGGGCCUCUUGAAUUCUGAUUCUAUAGCUGUGGAAUUGGUUAUUUUUCCCCAAUGGCAUGAAAUGUUUUAAAUUUUGCUGCAGCCAGGUGCUCAACAUUUUGUUUCAUAUACUUGCUCUGCCUGGAUCUGACUGCAGCUGUAUUUUGCUCUCUAGUUUUUCCCUGUCAGGAGGAGUUAACUGGGUUAUAGUGCAUGCUUUCUGCUCUUUUGAUAAUAUUAGAUAAUGGGGUCAGAGACCAGAGCUGGAGUCUAAUUUACAGCCUGGAUCUUGGGGAACCAAAAGCAUAGGCUGGCCAGCUAGGUUGCCUUGAGAACAUCAUAGGGAGAUGAGUUGCUGAAGUUAUCUAUAAGCUCACCCCUUCCUAGGUAGACAUGGGUGGGGAAGGAGGUUCUGUAGCAGGCCAGCUGUACAUCAUCAUGGGAUCCAAGGCAUGGAGAGUGGAGCCAAGUCACCUGCAGGACAUAGUGAAAAAUCCAUAGUUGAAGAUAAUCUUUGUUGGAAAUAAUUUUAGGUCAGUGAGUAUGAGCCAUCAUUGUGUGGUUUUGUUUUGUUUUUUUAUAUGAGUGAAGGGAUCAGAAUGAAGGCUAUUUAGAACAGAUUAACAUUGCCAUGGAAUUUGAAGAUGUUUGCUGUAGAAUUUGGUCUCAUUGUAGCAGAGUCACAGAUCCCCAUAUAUCAUAUGUAUUGUAUGUUACAUAUAUAUAUGAGGAGUAUACAAUACGAAAACAAAAAAGAAAAAACGAUUUGACUAAAAAAAAAGCUCAGUACAAAUAAUAGAAAUUUAGGAUACUUUUUUGAACAUUAUACAUUAACAAUUUUUCAUUUUAAAUGCAAAAUCCAUUUAUAAUUUUGAACAGUGACCAUUAUGAGUUAAAUUGCCAAAUUUUGUCAUUUUAGGCCCUGACCCUUCAUUGACUUCAAUGGGGCUUUGCGUGGGCCUAAGAGUCUGCAUUAUGGCAGAUGCUUUUAUUGGACUACUUUGGCCAUUUCCAAAUGCCAUCAUUGGAGCACUCUUUUACUUUUUUACAAUUAGUUAUUUUAUACAUGAAAGAAUUAGCUCAUUUUUAUUAUGCCUUCCAGUGCUGAAAAAUCACUUAUCCUAUUAAGUUAUGAUAGUGGACAAUUUGUUCUCCUAUAAAGCUAUCACACUAAGCACUUACAACCAGAGCCUUACAGUUUUAUAUGAGACAAAUUUGUAUGUCAGUCUUCCUUAUCUAAUACAUCUCCAAUAGAUACUGUCCAGGAAGUCCUGUGUAAUACUUUAAAUUGCAUUAACUUCACUUUUGUCUUCCACUGAUGGUCAACAAAUCUGUAGUUCAGUCUUGAUAUUCUUCCUCCAAAUGAACAACUGUGGGGACUCAGUUCUGCAGACCCUACUCAAGUGAGAUGUGAGUGGGUCUACGUAUAUGAAUAAGGGUCACAGAAAUGUGUGCUAAAAAUGUGAUCUACGUUUUCUUAACUUGGAAGACUGGUUGCAAGUGUCUGUACUAAGCUAUCCACUGGAUCUCUACUAACUUGCAGAUCUGGGGAAAUAACAAUAACAUUCUUUCUGCUGCACUGCAGUAUAAUCAGUUGGUCAUGGAUGUAAAAUAAAAAAAUAUCAUUAAUUAUUACAGCAAAAUUCAAGACCUAGUUUGCCUGAAGGAAAAACAGAAACAUCGACUUUUGAAAGACAAGCAAAUAACUCUUCAGAGGAAACAAAAAAAGAAUGCAAUG
Molecule: RNA transcript, 4846 nt
Organism: Malaclemys terrapin pileata
Lineage: Eukaryota; Metazoa; Chordata; Testudines; Emydidae
Gene: ZNF280D
Gene name: zinc finger protein 280D
Exons: 20
Source: RefSeq, a predicted model, not a curated record